Molecule: ribosomal RNA, 550 nt
Filed under: Woodworthia maculata (Raukawa gecko)
Lineage: Eukaryota; Metazoa; Chordata; Lepidosauria; Squamata; Diplodactylidae
Description: partial 16S ribosomal RNA
Rfam family: Bacterial large subunit ribosomal RNA
Source: RNAcentral
AAAACAUAGCCUUUAGCCAAACAAGUAUUAAAGGUCUAGCCUGCCCAGUGAAUUAUUUCAACGGCCGCGGUAUCCUAACCGUGCAAAGGUAGCGUAAUCAUUUGUCUUCUAAAUAGAGACUUGUAUGAACGGCUAACUGAGGGCCCAACUGUCUCCUUAGACCAAUCAAUGAAACUGAUCUUUCAGUACAAAAGCUGAAAUAAACACAUAAGACGAGAAGACCCUGUGGAGCUUAAAACCUACACUAUAAACGCCCAUCCAUCCCUAAAGGGACACCUCCCUCCCCAUAGUAAAAAGUUUUUAGUUGGGGCGACUUUGGAACAAAACAAAACUUCCAUGCCAGGGACCCCUCCCUAUAAAGGCUUACAUGCCAAAAUAAUACUUUUUUGACCCAGCCUGUCUGAUCAACGAACCAAGUUACCCCAGGGAUAACAGCGCCAUCCUCUUCAAGAGUUCCUAUCGACAAGAGGGUUUACGACCUCGAUGUUGGAUCAGGACACCCCGGUGGUGUAGCCGCUACCAAAGGUUCGUUUGUUCAACGAUUAACAGU